RNAcentral lists this non-coding RNA (802 nucleotides) under Chinolyda flagellicornis. Lineage: Eukaryota; Metazoa; Arthropoda; Insecta; Hymenoptera; Pamphiliidae. The record is from RNAcentral.
UAUAUAUAUAUAUAAUUUUAUUUCGGUUAAAUUAUUUAUUUUAAGUUUUUUUUAUAUGUAAAUUUUUGUGAUAUAAUUUUUCUAAAAGAUUAAUUAUUUAUAAUUUGCAGUAUUUAAAUUUAAAAAUCAAAUAAUUUUGGAUUUAGGAAUAUUUAAUUAAUAUUGGUAAAAACUGUGCCAGCAUCCGCGGUUAUACAGUUUAAUAUGAGUAAAUAUAUUUAGUUUUAUAGUUAAUAAUAAAUAUUAAUUAAAAAAAAAUUAUAUAAAUAAAGUGAAAUUUUUUUAUAUAUAAUUAAUUAAUUUUUUUAUUUAUGAGGCUAUUAAAUUUUAAUAAUAAACUAGGAUUAGAUACCCUAUUAUUUAAAACGUAAAAAUUUAGUCUAGAUUAGUAAUAGAUAUAUUCUUUAAAAUUAAUAAAUUUGGCGGUAUUAUAAUCUAUUUAGAGGAACCUGUAUUUUAAUUGAUGAUCCACGAUAAAUUUUACUUAAUUUUGUUUUUCAAUUUGUAUACCGCCGUUAUCAGAGUAUUUUAAAAGAAUAAAAAUUUUCUAAAUUUUUAAUAAUAAAAUUAUUUCAGGUCAAGGUGCAGUUUAUAAUUAAGUUAAUAUGGGUUACAAUAAAUUUAUUUAAAUGAAUUUAGUUAAUGAAAUUUAAUUAUUAAAGUGGAUUUAAAAGUAAAUUAAAUUAUUUAAUUUAAUUGAUUAUAGCUCUAUAAUAUGUACACAUCGCCCGUCGCUCUCGUUCUUAAAAGUGAGAUAAGUCGUAACAUAGUAGAUGUAUUGGAAAAUGUAUCUAGAAAGUUU